This 21-nucleotide non-coding RNA is filed under the name Arabidopsis thaliana (thale cress). Lineage: Eukaryota; Viridiplantae; Streptophyta; Magnoliopsida; Brassicales; Brassicaceae. The record is from RNAcentral.
UCGGUAAAGGCGGCGGCAUUG